GAACUUAGCAGAGAUGCUUUGGUGCCUUCGGGAACUCUGAGACAGGUGCUGCAUGGCUGUCGUCAGCUCGUGUUGUGAAAUGUUGGGUUAAGUCCCGCAACGAGCGCAACCCUUAUCCUUUGUUGCCAGCGGUUAGGCCGGGAACUCAAAGGAGGCUGCCAGUGAUAAACUGGAGGAAGGUGGGGAUGACGUCAAGUCAUCAUGGCCCUUACGAGUAGGGCUACACACGUGCUACAAUGGCGCAUACAAAGAGAAGCGACCUCGCGAGAGCAAGCGGACCUCAUAAAGUGCGUCGUAGUCCGGAUUGGAGUCUGCAACUCGACUCCAUGAAGUCGGAAUCGCUAGUAAUCGUGGAUCAGAAUGCCACGGUGAAUACGUUCCCGGGCCUUGUACACACCGCCCGUCACACCAUGGGAGUGGGUUGCAAAAGAAGUAGGUAGCUUAACCUUCGGGAGGGCGCUUACCACUUUGUGAUUCAUGACUGGGGUGAAGUCGUAACAAGGUAAGCGUAGUGCU
This 516-nucleotide ribosomal RNA is filed under the name uncultured bacterium. RNAcentral's name for it is "bacterial SSU rRNA". It matches the Rfam family "Bacterial small subunit ribosomal RNA", at positions 993 to 1509 of the family's 1533-position model. The record is from RNAcentral.